RNAcentral lists this transfer RNA (67 nucleotides) under Mychonastes homosphaera. Its description in RNAcentral is "tRNA-Phe". Lineage: Eukaryota; Viridiplantae; Chlorophyta; Chlorophyceae; Sphaeropleales; Mychonastaceae. The record is from RNAcentral.
GCGAAUGUAUAAAUUACACAAUUAAUCUAAAAUAAUUGAUGUAUUGUGUUCAAUUACUACAUUCGUG